CCCUUAGAUGUUCUGGGCCGCACGCGCGCUACACUGACGAAUGCAACGAGCUUAUAACCUUGGCCGAAAGGUCUGGGUAAUCUCCAAAUUUCGUCGUGAUGGGGAUAGAUUAUUGCAAUUAUUAAUCUUCAACGAGGAAUGCCUAGUAAGCGCAAGUCAUCAGCUUGCGUUGAUUACGUCCCUGCCCUUUGUACACACCGCCCGUCGCUCCUACCGAUUGAAUGGUCCGGUGAAGCGUUCGGACCGUGGCCUUUGGACGGUUCCCCGUCUGUUGGCUGCGGGAAGUUCGUUAAACCUUAUCAUUUAGAGGAAGGAGAAGUCGUAACA
This 327-nucleotide ribosomal RNA is filed under the name uncultured eukaryote. RNAcentral describes it as "partial 18S ribosomal RNA". It matches the Rfam family "Eukaryotic small subunit ribosomal RNA", at positions 1470 to 1796 of the family's 1831-position model. The record is from RNAcentral.